AGAGUACUCCCUCCGUCCGGAAAUACUUGUCAUUGAAAUGAAUGUAUCUAGAUAUAUUUUAGUUUCUGAUACAUCCAUUUUGAUGACAAGUAAUUUCGGACGGAGGGAGUAGUCA
This is a non-coding RNA of Triticum aestivum (bread wheat), 115 nucleotides long. The record is from Rfam. Lineage: Eukaryota; Viridiplantae; Streptophyta; Magnoliopsida; Poales; Poaceae.